This 421-nucleotide small RNA is filed under the name Pan troglodytes (chimpanzee). RNAcentral describes it as "processed transcript". Lineage: Eukaryota; Metazoa; Chordata; Mammalia; Primates; Hominidae. The record is from RNAcentral.
UGAGUCCCUUGGUUUUGAGCUUACUGUGGAGAGAUUAGUUUCUAUUGGCUAUCCCCAGGAGUUGCUCAGCUUUGCUUAUGAUUCUACAUUCCCUACCAGGGGACUUGUCUUUGACACACUGUAUGGAAAUCUUUUGAAAGUCGAUGCCUAUGGAAACCUCUUGGUCUGUGCACAUGGAUUUAACUUUAUAAGGGGACCAGAAACUAGAGAACAGUAUCCAAAUAAAUUUAUCCAGCGAGAUGAUACUGAAAGAUUUUACAUUCUGAACACACUAUUCAACCUACCAGAGACCUACCUGUUGGCCUGCCUAGUAGAUUUUUUUACUAAUUGUCCCAGAUAUACCAGUGAAUUUAGUGCUAGUGAGAGAUGCCACAUUGCCAACCUGAGAGAUGGGACAGCACCAGCAGCUCCAUGCAGGCUC